Molecule: ribosomal RNA, 133 nt
Filed under: uncultured eukaryote
Lineage: Eukaryota
Description: partial 18S ribosomal RNA
Rfam family: Eukaryotic small subunit ribosomal RNA
Source: RNAcentral
UGGUGGAGUGAUUUGUCUGCUUAAUUGCGAUAACGAACGAGACCUCGGCCCUUAAAUAGCCCGGUCCGCAUUUGCGGCGCUGGCUUCUUAGGGGACUAUCGGCUCAAGCCGAUGGAAGUGCGCGGCAAUAACA